Molecule: long non-coding RNA, 1466 nt
Organism: Bubalus bubalis (water buffalo)
Lineage: Eukaryota; Metazoa; Chordata; Mammalia; Artiodactyla; Bovidae
Exons: 4
Source: RefSeq, a predicted model, not a curated record
CAUGUUCCUUCUAAAGCAGAGGCUCGCUCUCUCACACACACACUUCCCUCCUUUUCUCCUCUCCUCUGCACUCUCUGCCUCUGACCCAGCUCUCUCAGCAGCCUAAAAAACGAUGAAGACAUUUUAUACUGCUUCCUCUUAGUUUUUCCAUCUCUAUUCAAACCUUAAAUAUGAAUCUGAAUUGUAAUGUUUCCAUCCUAAGACUGCAUUUCUUACUUAUCUCUCUUUUACUUAAAUAGGAGAUAAGGCAAGAAAAGCAAUUAUAAGAAGAGAAGCUACUGAAAUGAAACCAUUUUUCUUAACCUUUGAGUUCAGGCAAAAAUCACCCAAGUCCAAAUAGGCAAACAUGUCCCCUCAGGACUCUCAGAAGUGGAUUCUGUGUCUUCUUUAGAAAGCAUUGACAAUAACUUCACUCAUCUCUGCUGCUGCUGCUGCUAAGUCGCUUCAGUCAUGUCCGACUCUGUGCGAGCCCAGAGACGGCAGCCCACCAGGCUCCCCUGUCCCUGGGAUUCUCCAGGCAGGAACACUGGAGUGGGUUGCCAUUUCCUUCUCCACUCAUCUCUAUCAACAUAAUUGAGAACUACCUGGUUUAGCUGGUGGAGGGGAAGAGACUGAGCUUUAGGAGUCUCCUGAGAUGCUUUUCAGUGUCUGUGGUCAGAAGAGGAAGCUGUGAUGACGGAGCAAAUCAAUGACAUCAGUGUCACCUGGGAGGUGGUGUGACAAGUAAGGAUCUAUUAAUAGAAAGGACAACUGGGAAAAUGUCACACUUAGAAAACAAAUGAUUUGUGGCAAGAGAAGCUGGGAACCCAUUUCAGGUGAAAGGAAGAAUAACUUUCCUCAGCAACAAGAAGACAGAUAGCAUCUGCUUCUGUGCCUCAGGGGAUAGGAACGGCUCAGUUGGUAAAGAAUCUGCCUGCAAUGCAGGAGACCCGGGUUUGAUCUCUGGGUCAGGAAGAUCCCCUGGAAAAGGAAAUGACAACACACUCCAGUAUUCCUGCCUGGAGAAGAAUUUCUUGCCUGGAGAAGUAUUGUCCCAUGGACCGAGGAGCCUGGAGGGCUACCACCCAUGUGGUUACAAGAGCUAAACACGGCUUAGUGACUAAACCACCACCACCCAUGAGCACAUGAUGUCUUUCCAUUUAUUUUAGGUCCUCUUUAAUUUCUUUCAACCAUGAUUUUUAGUUUUCAGAGUAUAAUUUUUAUACUUCUAUUAAAUUUGUUCUUUAAUAUUUUAUUCUUUUUGAUGUUAUUGUAAAUUGAAUUAUUUUCUUAAUUUCAUUUAUGGUUUGUUCAUUGCUACCAAUGUACAAUUAGUACAGUUGACUUCUGUAGUAUAUAAAUCUGUGUCCUACAACCCAACUGAAUUAAUUUAUUAGUUCUAAUAGUUUUUUAGUAGAAUUCUAAGGAUUUUCUGUAUAUAGGAAUGAUCAUAUCAUCUGCAAAUACAGCUAAUUUUUUUUUCUUUA